UUCGGGGAACGAUAACGGCGUCGAGCGGCGGACGGGUGAGUAAUGCCUAGGAAAUUGCCCUGAUGUGGGGGAUAACCAUUGGAAACGAUGGCUAAUACCGCAUGAUGCCUACGGGCCAAAGAGGGGGACCUUCGGGCCUCUCGCGUCAGGAUAUGCCUAGGUGGGAUUAGCUAGUUGGUGAGGUAAGGGCUCACCAAGGCGACGAUCCCUAGCUGGUCUGAGAGGAUGAUCAGCCACACUGGAACUGAGACACGGUCCAGACUCCUACGGGAGGCAGCAGUGGGGAAUAUUGCACAAUGGGCGCAAGCCUGAUGCAGCCAUGCCGCGUGUGUGAAGAAGGCCUUCGGGUUGUAAAGCACUUUCAGUCGUGAGGAAGGUGGUGUAGUUAAUAGCUGUAUUAUUUGACGUUAGCGACAGAAGAAGCACCGGCUAACUCCGUGCCAGCAGCCGCGGUAAUACGGAGGGUGCGAGCGUUAAUCGGAAUUACUGGGCGUAAAGCGCAUGCAGGU
This 509-nucleotide ribosomal RNA is filed under the name Vibrio sp. Its description in RNAcentral is "bacterial SSU rRNA". It matches the Rfam family "Bacterial small subunit ribosomal RNA", at positions 79 to 576 of the family's 1533-position model. The record is from RNAcentral. Lineage: Bacteria; Pseudomonadati; Pseudomonadota; Gammaproteobacteria; Vibrionales; Vibrionaceae.